This 607-nucleotide ribosomal RNA is filed under the name Platygobio gracilis. RNAcentral describes it as "partial 16S ribosomal RNA". It matches the Rfam family "Bacterial large subunit ribosomal RNA", at positions 2008 to 2824 of the family's 2925-position model. The record is from RNAcentral. Lineage: Eukaryota; Metazoa; Chordata; Actinopteri; Cypriniformes; Leuciscidae.
GGGCUUAACUGUCUCCCCCCUCCAGUCAGUGAAAUUGAUCUAUCCGUGCAGAAGCGGGUAUAACAGUACAAGACGAGAAGACCCUUUGGAGCUUAAGGUACAAGACUCAGCCACGUUAAACAACUCCGUAGAAAGCAAGAACUUAGUGGCCAUGAAACUUUACCUUCGGUUGGGGCGACCACGGAGGAAAAACAAGCCUCCGAGUGGACUGGGCCAAAACCCCUAAAGCCAAGAGAGACAUCUUUAAGCCGCAGAACAUCUGACCAAUAAUGAUCCGGCUAAUAAAGCCGAUCAACGAACCAAGUUACCCUAGGGAUAACAGCGCAAUCCUCUCCCAGAGCCCAUAUCGACGAGGGGGUUUACGACCUCGAUGUUGGAUCAGGACAUCCUGAUGGUGCAGCCGCUAUUAAGGGUUCGUUUGUUCAACGAUUAAAGUCCUACGUGAUCUGAGUUCAGACCGGAGCAAUCCAGGUCAGUUUCUAUCUGUAACGCUACUUUUCCUAGUACGAAAGGAUCGGAAAAGAGGGGCCCAUACUUACAGCAUGCCCCACCCCUAAUUCAUGAAAACAAAUAAAUUAAAUAAGGGAGGGCCAGAACCCCUGCCGCC